AACGAACGCUGGCGGCGUGCCUAACACAUGCAAGUCGUACGAGAAAUUCCGGCUUCGGCCGGGAGAGUAAAGUGGCGCACGGGUGAGUAACGCGUGGGUAACCUACCCGCAAAUCGGGAAUAACCACUCGAAAGGGUGGCUAAUACCUGAUAAUGUCUGCAAGUCUCUGGACAUGCAGACCAAAGGUGGCCUCUACAUGUAAGCUAUCAUUUGGGGAUGGGCCCGGGUACCAUUAGCUUGUUGGUAGGGUAAAGGCCUACCAAGGCUGUGAUGGUUAGCUGGUCUGAGAGGAUGAUCAGCCACACUGGAACUGGAACACGGUCCAGACUCCUACGGGAGGCAGCAGUGAGGAAUCUUGCGCAAUGGGGGGAAACCCUGACGCAGCAACGCCGCGUGAGUGAAGAAGGCUUUCGGGUUGUAAAGCUCUGUCAAGUGGGAAGAACUACUUGGUGCUAAUAUCGCCGAGGACUGACGGUACCACUAAAGGAAGCACCGGCUGACUCCGUGCCAGCCGCCGCGGUAA
Molecule: ribosomal RNA, 523 nt
Filed under: uncultured bacterium
Lineage: Bacteria
Description: partial 16S ribosomal RNA
Rfam family: Bacterial small subunit ribosomal RNA
Source: RNAcentral